GUGCCAGCAGCCGCGGUAAGACAGAGGCCUCAAGCGUUAGGCGGAAUCACUGGGCUUAAAGCGUGUGUAGGCGGACUUCUAAGUGCCUUGUGAAAUCCCACGGCUCAACCGUGGAACUGCUGGGCAUACUGGGAGUCUUGGGCCAUUCAGGGGCAACUGGAACAAGCGGUGGAGCGGUGAAAUGCGUAGAUAUCGCUUGGAACGCCGAAGGUGAAAACAGGUUGCUGGGGAUGUGCCGACGCUGAGACACGAAAGCCAGGGGAGCAAACGGGAUUAGAUACCCCCGUAGUCC
This 292-nucleotide ribosomal RNA is filed under the name uncultured bacterium. Its description in RNAcentral is "partial 16S ribosomal RNA". It matches the Rfam family "Bacterial small subunit ribosomal RNA", at positions 505 to 796 of the family's 1533-position model. The record is from RNAcentral.